GUUGUGCGUAGCUUAAUUGGUAGAGCAUCAGAUUGUGGCUCUGAGAGGUGCGAGUUCAAAUCUCGUCGUACACCCCA
This 77-nucleotide transfer RNA is filed under the name Caudoviricetes sp. RNAcentral describes it as "tRNA-His". It matches the Rfam family "tRNA". Rfam says of the family: Transfer RNA (tRNA) molecules are approximately 80 nucleotides in length. Lineage: Duplodnaviria; Heunggongvirae; Uroviricota; Caudoviricetes. The record is from RNAcentral.